Molecule: ribosomal RNA, 505 nt
Filed under: uncultured bacterium
Lineage: Bacteria
Description: partial 16S ribosomal RNA
Rfam family: Bacterial small subunit ribosomal RNA
Source: RNAcentral
GACGAACGCUGGCGGCGUGCCUAAUACAUGCAAGUAGAACGCACAGUUUAUACCGUAGCUUGCUACACCAUAAACUGUGAGUUGCGAACGGGUGAGUAACGCGUAGGUAACCUGCCUGGUAGCGGGGGAUAACUAUUGGAAACGAUAGCUAAUACCGCAUAAUAUUGAUUAUUGCAUGAUAAUUGAUUGAAAGAUGCUAUUGCAUCACUACCAGAUGGACCUGCGUUGUAUUAGCUAGUAGGUGAGGUAACGGCUCGCCUAGGCGACGAUACAUAGCCGACCUGAGAGGGUGAUCGGCCACACUGGGACUGAGACACGGCCCAGACUCCUACGGGAGGCAGCAGUAGGGAAUCUUCGGCAAUGGACGAAAGUCUGACCGAGCAACGCCGCGUGAGUGAAGAAGGUUUUCGGAUCGUAAAGCUCUGUUGUAAGAGAAGAACGGGUGUGAGAGUGGAAAGUUCACACUGUGACGGUAUCUUACCAGAAAGGGACGGCUAACUACGUG